Long non-coding RNA from Tupaia belangeri chinensis (Chinese tree shrew), 639 nucleotides. RefSeq lists it as uncharacterized. NCBI's taxonomy places the organism in Eukaryota, Metazoa, Chordata, Mammalia, Scandentia, Tupaiidae. The record is from RefSeq and is a predicted model, not a curated record. The transcript is spliced from 2 exons.
AGUUGGAAAGGAGGUGAGAUAAGGCAGGCCAACCCUGGAAAGAGAUGUUGCCGUCCUAGAGGCCAGGCCCUCCUGCCACACCAGGAUGAUGGAUGAAGGCUGGGAGCGCUAGAGAAGCGUGGAACCCGCGUUCAGACAGACGAGACCUGCAGAGCUAAAAUAGGCCGAGAGGAAAGGAACAGAGCAAAGGUAGAAUCUGGAACCACAAGAAACUCCAGGAGAGAAGUGAAGGGAGAGCCUAGCCCAACCCUAGGGACAGCCGCUAAGAGUCUGCUCACUCAGUGAAGAGAACAGGGAGGCCUGGAAGGCUGGGUCCAGAGGAGAUGGGUGACCUUCCCGGCUGGAGGAAGGGCUGCAGAGAAGGUCCCAGGAGGAACUGAGUGGGAAGCUGGGUCAGCCCAUGCCUGUCAUGGCCUAUAAGCCCUUGACUGUCAUUUCCCCAGGUCAUUUCCAGGACAAGAAGGCCCUGGGUCUGCCUCUCACUAGCUGCCUUCCAGAACCCCAGCAGACACCCAUCUUCUUCAUUAACUGGAGGAAGGACUGCUCCCCACAGACAGCCAUCGCUGGCAGCAAGAUAGCACUGGGAAGAGAUUUUCUACCUGGGGGAGUUCCUCCCACAUGAACAAAGAACUGGAAAGG